This 253-nucleotide ribosomal RNA is filed under the name uncultured bacterium. Its description in RNAcentral is "partial 16S ribosomal RNA". It matches the Rfam family "Bacterial small subunit ribosomal RNA", at positions 524 to 776 of the family's 1533-position model. The record is from RNAcentral.
UACGUAGGGACCAAGCGUUGUUCGGAUUUACUGGGCGUAAAGGGCGCGUAGGCGGCGCGGUCAGUCACUUGUGAAAUCUCUGAGCUUAACUCAGAACGGCCAAGUGAUACUGCAGUGCUAGAGUGCAGAAAGGGCAAUCGGAAUUCUUGGUGUAGCGGUGAAAUGCGUAGAUAUCAAGAGGAACACCUGAGGCGAAGGCGGGUUGCUAGGCUGACACUGACGCUGAUGCGCGAAAGCUAGGGGAGCAAACGGG